RNAcentral lists this ribosomal RNA (586 nucleotides) under Brachygobius kabiliensis. Its description in RNAcentral is "partial 12S rRNA". It matches the Rfam family "Bacterial small subunit ribosomal RNA", at positions 536 to 1412 of the family's 1533-position model. Lineage: Eukaryota; Metazoa; Chordata; Actinopteri; Gobiiformes; Gobiidae. The record is from RNAcentral.
GAGCCCAAGAGAUGUUAUACGGUGUAAAAAGUGGACGGACAAUAAGUAAUUAAAGCUAAAUAUCUUCUAUGCUGUUAUACGCUUAUGAAGUAAGAGGCCCCUUCACGAAAGUAGCUUUAAAAGGAUAUCCACUAAAGCUAAGAAACAAACUGGGAUUAGAUACCCCACUAUGCUUAGCCUUAAACAUAAGUAUUAUUUAACCUUAUUGCUUACCAGGGAACUAUGAGCCCCAGCUUAAAACCCAAAGGACUUGGCGGUCCCUAAGACCCCCCUAGAGGAGCCUGUUCUAUAAUCGAUACCCCACGUUAAACCUCACCCUUAAUUGCUUAUUCCGUCUAUAUACCGCCGUCGUCAGCUCACCCUAUGAAGGAACAAUAGUUAGCAUAGUUGGUAAAACCCAAAACGUCAGGUCAAGGUGUAACACAUGUAAGGGGAAGAAAUGGGCUACAUUCACUGAAACAGUAAAUACGGAUACUACUUUGAAAUAAGUAGCUUGAAGGAGGAUUUAGUAGUAAGAAAAAAAUAGAGUGUUUAUCUGAAACUGGCCCUUAAGCGCGCACACACCGCCCGUCACUCUCCCCAACAG